This 388-nucleotide ribosomal RNA is filed under the name uncultured fungus. Its description in RNAcentral is "eukaryotic LSU rRNA". The stretch from base 1 to 125 matches the Rfam family "5.8S ribosomal RNA", at positions 30 to 154 of the family's 154-position model. Lineage: Eukaryota; Fungi. The record is from RNAcentral.
GCAUCGAUGAAGAACGCAGCCAGUUGCGAUAAGUAGUGUGAAUUGCAGAAUUCAGUGAAUCAUCGAAUCUUUGAACGCAAAUUGCGCUUUCCGGAUAUCCGGGGAGCAUGCCUGUCUGAGCGUCGUUUAAUAAUCUACACACCUCGGUGUGGGUAGGGAGUUCAUGUGACCUGUCCUUCAGGACACCUGUCUCUCGAUGUGUCUGAACCUUGCUCGUACUUGCUUAUGUACUUGCUUGGAAGGCUCAACUUGCUUCUGUCCUUCUGAUGCAGUCAUCGCGUUGCGCACUUGCACAGUUCUCGUUCGACUGUUCAGUCGAAAAUCUUCUAUUUUGACCUCAGAUCAGACAAGACUACCCGCUGAAUUUAAGCAUAUCAAUAAGCGGAGG